This 1394-nucleotide long non-coding RNA is filed under the name Mytilus galloprovincialis (Mediterranean mussel). The record is from RNAcentral. Lineage: Eukaryota; Metazoa; Mollusca; Bivalvia; Mytilida; Mytilidae.
AAAAAAAACAUUGUUUGGUAGUAAACAAAACUUGGAUGUUUAAGAUUUAGUGAGUAUUUAACUUUAUUUUGUGUUUCACAAGUACAAAUUAUGGAGUUACAUUUUAGCAUUUUCAUAUAUUUUAGCCUGUAUUAUUCAUUGUAUCUUUGUUUUACUGUGGCAACUGUAGUUCUUGUGUAAUUUUCACAUAAUGAUGCAUUGUAUUUUUCAUUGGAAAGAAAGUUUUAUAAAAUCAAUACAGUUUUUGGAUAGUUUAAACCACCAUCAUGUUUCUUGAAAUAGUGUGAAAAGCUUUUAAAUGAUAAACAGAAGAAAAAAAAACUAUUUCAUUGAUGUUCAAGAGCAUAAUUUCUUCAUCAGAUUUUGAAUUGUCUCUAUUUUCAAACAAUAUGAAACCAUUGUAACUUCAAAAUAUAGAAACUUAUCAAAAAAAUUAUGUUAUUUAAGAAUCCAAAUACUUUCCAACAUUAGUUAAAUUCAUGACACACCCUUUAAAUUCAGGAUUGAUCAUCUUAACAUUUGUCAGAUACAGUUUUCACAAAAAGGUGAAAAUCAUGAAAGAACUUAAACUUCAUUGAACUUAAUGUUUCUUGCAGUAAUAAAGGUACAUUACCCCAUAUCAUUAGCCCUUACUUUCGAAAGAAACUUAAUAAAAAAUAAUGAUAAAUUUAUCAAUUCUAUUUUGAAUUUAUAUUUUAAGCCUUCUUAAAACAUGACUUGCUGUUUAAUAAAGUGGACAAUAAUGGAUUAGUUAUUUUGUCUCUUUAAUUUAAAAAAAAUAAAGAGUUAAUUUGGUUUAUUCAAUGUGUCUUUAUGUAUUAACAAUUAUCAGGUAGUGCUGAACCACAAAUUUUAAAGGAUAAUGAAGACUUAGAUGUGUAUGAAAUUCAAGAGGUGUGAAUGCUCUUUUUUCUUCUUCAUUUUUUUAAUAUUCACUAUCAUCUCCGAGGAUAAAUUAUUUUCCAUCUGGUUUUCCUUCUUUUUUUUUAAGGUUAUCCAAAGGUUAAAUCAUCUAGCAAAUUACAGUGAAAGUGUUUAUCUUCAAAAGAACAAUAUGUCGAUACUCACACUUUUACACACACACAAUAUUUUUUUAAUUGUUUUCUUAGAAUUAUAUAUUAUGCACAGCUUAAACUUUUAUUGUGUGUUGAUGCAUUAAAAUAAGUAUUUAUUAAAUACUUCCACUUCACAAAAGAGAUAUAAAUGUGAAAAUCCCAGAAUCAAUAGAUUAUUUCAGUGUGGCAUAGAUUUCAAAAGUUUUGUUGAUGUAGAAAUAAAUCAUCUUUAUAAUAUUCUAUUUAUUUAUGUUUUAAUGUAACUAACUGUUUUGUUUAUUGUUUUGAUUGUUAGAUAUUUAUUAUAUUAUGGAUUCUAAUUUAAGUUCUUCAAAUAUG